Molecule: long non-coding RNA, 4203 nt
Organism: Tachysurus fulvidraco (yellow catfish)
Lineage: Eukaryota; Metazoa; Chordata; Actinopteri; Siluriformes; Bagridae
Exons: 4
Source: RefSeq, a predicted model, not a curated record
CUGUGUGCACGUGUGUCUGCGUAUGGUGGUAUAAAGACACAAUUCUAGGGCUGAACAUCAUGAGGCAGAAAACUUGAACCCUUCUUGAACAGUUGUUGGUGUAAUGAUAUUUAACUUAGCACUAAGUUUAGAUUGUUUUUCUUUCACAUACGGAUCAAACAGCGGUCUAACGGGGUCUGGAGCCUAUCCUAGGAACGCCAGGUACAAGGCAGAAAUACACGCCAUGAUAGGAUGUCAGUCCAUGUCAGGACACCAUGCACAGACACAUUUGCAUAUUCAUCCACACCUUGGGGCAAUUUAGCAAAGCAAACUCAUAAAAUCCCUGGGAGUGUGUGUAUUUGCAGGUGGCUGGAAAUGUAUAUGCUUGUGUUUGUGAGUGUAUUUGUGUGUGUAUUUGCAGGUGGCUGGGGGUGUUUAUAGUUUCGUGUGUAUGUGUGGGUGUCUGAUGCUGCAGGGUGAAAUGGUAGGGGCUGGAAGAUUCCAAGGCCAGGUCAGAAAGUCAAGGUGAUGGCACGUCACUGCCCUCAAGGCAGAAUGUCUGUUUACUACAUAAAUCAGUCAAAGGGUGACCACACACAAAAAAUAUUCUAUCUCUAUAUUCUUCGACACAAUACUUUGGACAGACAUUUGGACAGAGUCUGCAUAUAAAAGACCAAUAUUCAGGUAAGAAUUAUUUCCUCUUCUGUAUAUACAGUAUAUCCAUGAACAUAAAUAUUAUGCUGAAUCAAAUCUUUCAUUGUCAGUCUAAACACAGAAGCUAAUAAUCUAAAUUUUAUGGGUGUAAUUAGCAAAUGAUCACAAGAUGGUGUAUUAAUAAGCCCAAUCCAUCUUGUUUAGAAUCCAGUUUGUGAUUAUUUGAUAAAAAUCCAAGUGGGAAUUGACUGCUGGCUAAUGUGUUAUGAAUUUUGUUUGUUUGUUUGUUUGUUUGUUUGUUUGUGUUUAGGAUUGAGAGCAGUGCAGAGUGCUGGACCUAAGGGUCUUUAAAACUUUAAUUUGUUUUGUUGUUACAGACUGUAUUUGGCUGUAUAGAUCAGAUGCACAGUGUUUCAGUCACUGCAGAGCUCACAAACAUUAAACCAAGCACAUUCGAUUUUCAGCCAAACUGUCUGUUAUACCUGGUCACAAAAAGCCAUCAAACACCCAAUUAGGACAAAUCUUUUUCUCUUUUCUAAAGCCACGAGAAGAAAAAAGAAAAACCAAGAUGACUGGAAGAAGAUAUUCUGUUGCCUGUAGUGACAGUUUUCAGCUGUCAGUAAAAUUUCAAAAAAAUUUUUGCUUUUAAAGCAUCCAAAACAUUUUAAAAGUACAGCAAAUUUUAAUUGUUUACUUACCUAUAAAUCUCAAACAAUUUCAUGAACAUAAUAUUGGAGUACUAGUUUCUUAGUUUUACAUUUUUCAGCCCUAGUAAUGAUCUCCAUCCUUAUGAGAACAGAACAUGGUGGCACUUGAACCAGGAAGCAAACGGUGGUACAGAACCCAUGUAGGAACCUACCUGCAGGAGGCGGUGUGAAUUUGGUUGCACUGGAACUAGUGAUUCUGGACACAGCUCAUAUUCUGGUGUGCAGUUGUUCAGGAAGUAAAGUAACCUGCAUGUGGAUUUUAGCCAAUUUUGACAUCAUUAGUUUUCACAACACAAACAUUAGCACCGAAAUAAUAAAAUAAACAAAAACUAUGGUACGUUGUGUUGUGUUCUCCAUUCACAUUUUUGAGAUAAUGUAGGAUAAAAAUAAAUGCAACAAGGAUUAAUAGAUUCAAUUGAGUCUAAAAUAACCUCUUUAGCUGAAAAGGUAAUGUGCCAAGAAAGACUUGUAACUUUCAAAAAAGAAAACAACACAUUGAUAGAUAUUUGAUAGAUUAUAAACCAGUCUAGUAAAAGUGCUGGAAGUUACUAAGGAUAAACCACCAAAAAAAUAAAAAAAUGAAAUACAAAUCUGCCUUUCUUACCUACCCUCAAAUAUCAUGCAAAUAAGCCAUUUCAAUAAAUGUGCUGUUAAGGAAAGUCUGUCUGCCUAAAGAUGGUAAGCUGAGUUUCCUCAUGCACUGAGUAUUAGGCUUUGAUCAAGUUGCAGCAAAACAGAGUAGAUGAACGAUAUAAAUACCAGCUGUCAUAUUAUCCAUGUUGCGCACACACACACAUUGCUGAUUACACUGUAGACAUGGCAGACAUUUGUAAUGUCUGAAUGUUAAUUAGAAAAAUAUGGGAAAUUUAAUCAACAGAAAAAAACACUGAAGUAAUUCGGCACUGAUGUCUGAGCGAAGAAUGAAGCAAAAGAGUGAAGAGAGAUGAGACUGUAAAGAAUGAUAUGGAUGAUGAUGAUGAGAAGAUUAGAUAUUUUCCAUCUUGAGCUGAUAAUUGUUUGAUAAAGUGAGACUAAUGUCAUUUUUUUAUAAGAAAUUAGGUUUCAUAUGUGAAGGUAGGUGGGGUAUAUACUCGCAAAAAGACUGUCAUCUUAAAAUAAUAUUAAAUCAGGCAAUGAUAAAUCUAACUGAAAUAAUGUAGAGAAGACAGCAAUGUUAUUGAGGACUCAGUUUAAUCUAGUUUAUAAUGUAAACAUAACCAUUUAGGCCAAUCUUUAAAUUCAUUUUUAAAUCAAAUAAAGAGGAUUAUUAUGGAACGUGGAAUAUUAUGUCUAAUAUAAUAUAUUAAAAGAAAUGGUGGAAUAUUUAAAUUCCAAAAGUUAAAAAAAUUAAAUCUUAAAUUCAAAUCUUAAAAAGAGAGGAAAUUGCAUUUAAUAGCUACAUUUCAGAAGCUAUUAAAUGCAAUUUUCCUCUAUUUUUAAGCUUUUAAAAUGUUUAAACUUAAUUUCUGCUUGAAACCCAUUUCUCUGUUUACAAUAUUGACAGAUAAUGUCAGAUCACAGAUUUCUUGCUACUGAGGUUGCCCAGGAUUUUUGCUGUAGAAAUCAGUGACAUAUUGCUUUAUAGAAUAUAUGGUUUCUGUCUUUUUGUAUUUUAAAGAUUAAAUAAGUUUCAAAAGUGUUGUGGUUUAAAAUAAACAGGCUGGGAGAUUCAAUGUUAGAUUAGUCCCACACAGUGGUGGAAAGCCACCACCAUGACUGUGAAUUGUAGCAAUCAGCUCCUGUGAGAUAACAUCUUGGCUGUUAAAUGUGAUGCUUUAAACAACAUAAGCAUCAAAUCAGUAUGUAAAAGUAGAAAGGUCAACUUUUAACUGUGUGGGUUUUCCCAGGCCAUCAUAUAAUAUAAAUAUAACUCUUAUCUGUUGGGCCAAGGGACCACUUCUGGCUGAUUGUAAUACAGUGUUUUUUUGGUUUAGGCUGAUUGGAAGAUCUUUCUUCCAGUUCUAAACGUUAACUGAAAUAACAGAAAAGUGUGAGUUAGUCAGAGAGAGGCAUCCAAACUUGUUUUGAUGCUCCCUGCUGUUUGCAUGUAUUGCAGUGAUUGUGGCAGGCACAUGGUGAACUGCAUGAUGUGUCUGUGGUCGGCUUUGGGCUCAGGCAUGUGGGCUGCUCUGUUUUAGUGACUUGAGCUGCUGGGUUUUCUUUGAUUGGUGCACUUGAUCUGGUAUGGGAUAAUGAUGUUGUGUUUGGCCUGGCUGUUAUGGGCUGUUUGGGUUCCAUGGGGACAGCCAUGCCUGUUCAGACACGUUGCCCUGCUGAUAUCAGCUCUGGGGCUGUUUAUGGCUGAUCCAGGCUCAACAUGCUGGAAGGAGGUCCAAAUCAUCUCAUAACUCCUCAUCUUUUAUAAAGAAAGAUUGAUUUUUGCUAGAUCAUCAAAUAUGUCAUCAAUCCUCAUCCUCCUUGACUGUUCAGCAGCAUUUGACACAAUUAACCACAUGACUGUUGACAGCAUGGCAUCAGUUUGCUUCCUACUCGGAGGGUUGGUCAUAUCAAGCGACCUGGAGAAGAACCACAUCUGCUCCAUGCAGACUCUCCGCUGAUGUCCCACAAGGCUCAGUAUUUGGACCUCUUCUGUUUUUUUCUCUACACCUGAGCUCUUGGAGAUAUGUAGGUCAAAUCCUCACAUGGGUUUUCAUACCACUGCUAUGCAGAUUAUACUCAACUCAAUCUUUUCUUCUGGUGUCCAAAAAAUUGAGCAGCUGAAUACCUACCUAUUUCUCAAGCUCUUAAAAUGAGCACUUUAAUUUUAAAAAAGGCUGUUUUGUUGUGUGCCUUUCUAUACUGUAUAUAUAUAUAUAUAUAUAUUCCGUAUGUAUGUAUGUAUGUAUGUAUGUAUGUAUGUAUC